Molecule: unclassified non-coding RNA, 263 nt
Filed under: uncultured fungus
Lineage: Eukaryota; Fungi
Description: sequence contains ITS1
Source: RNAcentral
GUUUUUAUAUGCAUAUUUUUUUCAUUCAUUCUAUACACACACAUUGGUUGUGAAGAAAUGACAUAGACCAAAGGGAAAAGCCGACCUCUUUCGAAGCGCAGCAGUCCCCACUCGGAACGAAUUCCAUCCCCCAAGGUCUACAAUACGUGCACAGUUGGAGAAAUGAUAAAGAUGACAAGCGUGCACAUGUCUCAAGAGACCAGCAAAAACAGCCUGUUCAAGUUUAUUCGAUAAUGAUCCUUCCGCAGGUUCACCUACGGAAA